Molecule: long non-coding RNA, 2010 nt
Organism: Anguilla rostrata (American eel)
Lineage: Eukaryota; Metazoa; Chordata; Actinopteri; Anguilliformes; Anguillidae
Exons: 2
Source: RefSeq, a predicted model, not a curated record
GUGCAGAAAUUAAUCUUGAGUCUGUGAAUGCUCAAGUUCUGCGUGCUUGACCGCGAUCACACCAAUGCCCAUUCGGUUUGAACUCAGCAAAGGUUAAUUCCCGGAAACGCUGGAUAGUCACCAGUGUGCAGUCAUGAAGAGUAUUGGGGCGGGGGACAGGCUGCUGAAGCAGCGGGAGAAUCUUCACGGCCUUCGCUGGCUUCUGAAAGAGCAACAUUUCCGAUGCCCUUUCUGAGGCAGCGUGGGGCAGCCAACUCAGAUUCACCAAACGCAACAAUGUGAGGCUGGACAGCUCAGCGAGCCGAGAGAACAGCAGAAGUGAUACCCGCUCUAAUGUGACAAGGAACCCAGAAAAGGCUGUUAUCUUUGUGUUGCGUCUGCCUUCCAAGCAUCAAAUUGUGGCUUCCGUACAACAACUAAAACUCAUAUUGUGUUUUUUUUUUUUUUUUUUUUGCCUAUUGCAAAACCAACUUAAUCGUGCUUCAUUUUGUUUUGGUGCGUAACGUUAAGAAUUUGGCAUUUGCAUGACUAAAUAAGGUUUGUGUGGAAAAUACAUAAGAUUGGGAUGAAAUAAAAGCAGUUUAGCAGAUUUGUCAAGCAUAACAUAAGAUGCACAUGCACACCAGUAAAGGUCUGAUGUAAUGCGUUUUUGAGAGCAUUUUUUGGAAAUUUUAUUGUUUGUAGGGAAUGAUCAUCCUUCUUAGGGCUCUCUACCCACUACCCAGACCCAUAUUCCAUAUGAACAAAGUAAAAUGCUCAGCCUUAAAAUGUGUUAUUUUGUCACUGACGGUGUUUUUAGGAGUCCUCAGAAGAUUAAAAAAGUACUCUUAUCAGUGUAAAACGCACAUGGUCAAAGUGUAAUACCACGACUCCACCCGUGGCAUGAGUCAUCAGCCGCAUGCCACUCUAUCUGAGUGAAGACAACCAGAGAAUCGAAGCUGCACCAUAAGCAUUAUGUUCAUCUCUUGCCCACCGUGUGAACCCCGCCCACUCACUUUCUGCACCGAGGCCCUGGUGGUGUUUGCCAAUGGAAGGACGGUUGGAACAAUGGUUUCCCGUGUUGCAGGGCAUUGUUUCAGUUAUUGGAAGGAAUGCUUAUUGUAUGCGUGCAUUAGUAGCUGUAAAAGAUGGAAAUUGCAACAGAAAUGAGUCAUAUCUGUAGCUCCAGUUAGCUGCUGGCAUGGUAUCAAUCAAAUAGCCAGGCUGACUUGAAAGACUCAAAACAAAUCAACACACAAACAUCUCCAACACAUUGUUGAGGGGCAGAGCAGGCAUGUACCAUAGAGGGAUUUUGAAAUGAAAGCAGUCAUCACAAGGCUUGCGAAUGCAGGGGCUUUAAGUUUAUUGGUCAACUAUGAAGAAUGAGAAGCAACAGAUUUAACCAAGCAAGCGACAUGAGAAUGGCAACAGGACAGGAAUUAGAUGCAUUUGCAUGCAUUUAAAAUAAUUUUGUUUUUAUUUAUGUCAAGCAUCUGAAUGUAGAGACAUUUAAAUUCUCUGUCGGUGUAUAUGGAGGGGGAGGGGGGGCAGGGAAGGUAUUCAGUUUCACCACAAUGUGUACUAUUCUUUGUGUUCAGCAACUUAAGCCAUUUCCCCCCCAUUAGGACACAUUUGAAAAUAGCGUGUUUACAGUUAUACCAUUGAGACAGCUGUAAAUUGUGCAGUUUCUGAAACGGUAAGCUGAAUAUGGAAUUUAACAGCAUAUAUUUGUUCAAUAGAUCAAAGCCGUGGACUUUCCCCCCUUACUUUUAUGAAUUAGAUUAAAUGUGAACAGAAAAGAUUAACUUGUUUUUCUUGGCUGUGUACUCAUUUGACCUUUUUUGAUUGACAUAUUUCAGAUGAGCCAUUUGUCAUAUCCCAGCUGGCAGUCAAUUUCAGAUUGUUUCAGAAUGAUGGAAGUUCCCAGUGCAGCUGUCUGUGUUUUUAAAAAAUAUACUUUUAUAGAAGACCCCAUAUGUGACCGUGUGUUCACAGGAUGAACACGAGAGAGGGUAACUGCAUCUCUCAAUG